Molecule: long non-coding RNA, 555 nt
Organism: Mauremys reevesii (Reeves's turtle)
Lineage: Eukaryota; Metazoa; Chordata; Testudines; Geoemydidae
Exons: 2
Source: RefSeq, a predicted model, not a curated record
AGGAAGAACUGGGCUGGGAGGGUGCCCUUAUUGCCCCCCCCCCCCUUGACAAGCAGGGCAGGGGGGCUGGGAGCCAGGACUCCUGGGUCCUAUUCCUGGCUUUGCUGCCACAGACUCACGGUGUGACCUUGCCGGAGUCCCUUCCCCACCAUGUGCCUCGGUUUCCCCAUUCAUACAAUGUGGAUAAAGACUCUGCCCCUGUCCUGGGAUGGCUGUGAGGUUUGGGCUCUCGCACUCCAGCACCAGCCCGGGGGAGCACAGGAGAACCCUGGCUGCAGCACUCGCCCCCAGGGCAGGUCACCGAGCUCUGAGAAGCAGGAAGUGCCCCAAUGUGAGGAAAGGCAGGAAACGCUGCAGCGAGGGCUCUUCAUUUGCAGACCUGUGAGGGGAAGCACCGGUGAAGUCAGUGAGUGCCGUCAACCCUGGCAGGGCCUGAAGACAGCCCGUCCCCCCAGCCGCCCUACGCACAGAGGGGAAAUGAAGACCAGCAUCUCCCCCGACCCUGUGCUCCCUCUCUCAAGCUAGCCUUGCACAAAGAACAGACACCCCCUCAAA